Molecule: long non-coding RNA, 509 nt
Organism: Bos indicus x Bos taurus (hybrid cattle)
Lineage: Eukaryota; Metazoa; Chordata; Mammalia; Artiodactyla; Bovidae
Source: Ensembl
GUCAGGAGCUGCUCUGCGGGAGGCGCAACUGACGAAGGGCGGCACCGGGGCAGUACCUCGAAGCGAGCCGAACGCACGACGGGCGGCGCCCGCGCCCCUGCUAUAAAUGCCGCGCUCGGUCCCUCGAAGCACGAGGAUGCCAGCGCUGCAGGCGGUGUUGCCGUGUCUCCUGCUCCUGAAUCAGGCAACCACUGAUACCAAUGUAGUUUCCACACAGGGCCAGGGGCCUCCAGGCUCCCAGUCCUGCAGCCCCGGGGAAUACCGGCCAGUGGGCCGCUGCUGCAAGGCCUGCCCAGCCGGCCAUCUUGUCGGUGAGCACUGUAGGAGGUCCCACUCCUGGGGACAGUGUCUGCCAUGUCCACCCGGGACCUUUAUGGAGAGGCUCAACGGAAUGGAAGCCUGCUUCAAGUGCUCCACCUGCUCCAAGAGCCCCAGGGACUGACUGCCAGGGGUUUAGCUGAAGCUGGACUUUUCUGUGACCAAAAUGCAACAGUCCCCCGAGCUCGGGG